RNAcentral lists this ribosomal RNA (245 nucleotides) under uncultured bacterium. RNAcentral's name for it is "partial 16S ribosomal RNA". It matches the Rfam family "Bacterial small subunit ribosomal RNA", at positions 524 to 769 of the family's 1533-position model. The record is from RNAcentral.
UACGUAGGGUGCAAGCGUUAAUCGGAAUUACUGGGCGUAAAGCGUGCGCAGGCGGUUAUGCAAGACAGAUGUGAAAUCCCCGGGCUCAACCUGGGAACUGCAUUGUGACUGCAUGACUAGAGUACGGCAGAGGGGGAUGGAAUUCCGCGUGUAGCAGGUGAAAUGCGUAGAUAUGCGGAGGAACACCGAUGGCGAAGGCAAUCCCCUGGGCCUGUACUGACGCUCACUGCACGAAGCGUGGGAGC